RNAcentral lists this ribosomal RNA (403 nucleotides) under uncultured bacterium. RNAcentral's name for it is "partial 16S ribosomal RNA". It matches the Rfam family "Bacterial small subunit ribosomal RNA", at positions 28 to 526 of the family's 1533-position model. The record is from RNAcentral.
GACGAACGCUGGCGGCGUGCCUAAUACAUGCAAGUCGAACGCAGUGGGGACGGGUGAGUAACACGUGGGUAACCUCCCAUCAGAGGGGAUAACACUUGGAAACAGGUGCUAAACCGAUACUGAUGGAUGGACCCGCAGUGCAUUAGCUAGUUGGUGGGGUAACGGCUAACCAAGGCCACGAUGCAUAGCUGGUCUGAGAGGAGGACCGGCCACACUGGGACUGAGAAACGGCCCAGACUCCUACGGGAGGCAGCAGUAGGGAAUCUUCGACAAUGGACGAAAGCCUGACCGAGCAAUGCCGCGUGAGUGAAGAAGGUCUUCGGAUCGUAAAGCUCUGUCGUUAGGGAAGCGGUAUCUAAACAGAAAGCAAAGGCUAACUACGUGCCAGCAGCCGCGGUAAUAC